RNAcentral lists this ribosomal RNA (253 nucleotides) under uncultured bacterium. RNAcentral's name for it is "partial 16S ribosomal RNA". It matches the Rfam family "Bacterial small subunit ribosomal RNA", at positions 524 to 776 of the family's 1533-position model. The record is from RNAcentral.
GAAGAAGGGGGCUAGCGAUGUUCGGAAUUACUGGGCGUAAAGCGCGCGCAGGCGGCUUUUUAAGACAGAGGUGAAAUCCCGGGGCUUAACCCCGGAACUGCCCUUGGGACUGGAAGGCUUGAGUCCGGGAGAGGUGAGUGGAAUUCUCAGUGUAGAGGUGAAAUUCGUAGAUAUUUGGAAGAACACCGGUGGCGAAGGCGGCUCGCUGGACCGUUUCUGACGCUGAGGCGCGAAAGCGUGGGGAGCAAACAGG